UCUGACCAAGGACGCUAACAGUGUUGACAAACCUAAAAGAUGCCCGAAUGGCAACUUCUUUGUUCUCAGGAAUUUGUGGCCAAGGGCACUUGGCUCCGAGCAGAGAGAUCUGGGCUCAGACCCUUACUUUGUGGCUGUGUGUUCUUGGAGUCACUUCGUUUGCCUGAGCGGGUAGAACCCUGAGACACGAGGGAUGCGGGCCCCCUGUUCACCCCAGACUGCCAGCUUCUGUACCUUCAGGUGGUGAGAUGAACGGUUUGGAUUUGCACCUGUGUGUUUGUCUCAAAGAUGUCGAAGGGAGUGCCCCUGCCACCCCCCCAUCACUGUUGCAGCAGCACAGCGGAGACAAGAUAAUUGGCUUUACUAGAGGCUGCACAUUCACGGCAGAGCCAUUAUUCGGGACGCCUGCUGGUGGAGACGCCCCCGCCCCCUUGGGUCCCCUCACAAAGUGCAUCCUGCGCACAGGGCAGUGGACCCCCGCCAGGGCUCUGGGCACCAGCAAUUGUAAAACAGGAAAAAGAGCUCAGUGACCGUAAACAGUACCUGGACGGAAGAAGCUUCUGAAUCAGAUGGACUCAGCUCUGGCCCUGGGGAGGGGCGCCACUUUGGACAGCUUAACCCCCAACUUAACCCCCGAGCUUGUUUUCUCAUCUGUGAAAUGGAGUUGACUUCGAUCUCAUCCACAAACGUCAGGAUCGGAUCAAACAGCGUGAGUUUGACUUUGGUGUUUCUGGGUCCUAACGUGGGGCCUUUUGGCAGUACAGGUCAGCCUUCUGAAAUGAAAUGUUCUUUUCUUUACUCAAAUACUCUUUGAUCCUGGUAGGUCAAAUUCAGCCCCAAGGUGUGGCUUUGGGAAGCACCAGGUGUUUUAAACAUUAGACUAGGGGCGCCUGGGUGGCUCAGUCAGUUAAGCAGCUGACUUUGGCUCAGGUCAUGAUCUCACGAUUUGUAAGU
Suricata suricatta (meerkat) is the source of this 954-nucleotide long non-coding RNA. RefSeq lists it as uncharacterized. The transcript is spliced from 3 exons. Lineage: Eukaryota; Metazoa; Chordata; Mammalia; Carnivora; Herpestidae. The record is from RefSeq and is a predicted model, not a curated record.